Molecule: transfer RNA, 69 nt
Filed under: Sclerophasma paresisense
Lineage: Eukaryota; Metazoa; Arthropoda; Insecta; Mantophasmatodea; Mantophasmatidae
Description: tRNA-Gln
Rfam family: tRNA
About the family: Transfer RNA (tRNA) molecules are approximately 80 nucleotides in length. Their secondary structure includes four short double-helical elements and three loops (D, anti-codon, and T loops). Further hydrogen bonds mediate the characteristic L-shaped molecular structure. tRNAs have two regions of fundamental functional importance: the anti-codon, which is responsible for specific mRNA codon recognition, and the 3' end, to which the tRNAs corresponding amino acid is attached (by aminoacyl-tRNA synthetases). tRNAs cope with the degeneracy of the genetic code in two manners: having more than one tRNA (with a specific anti-codon) for a particular amino acid; and 'wobble' base-pairing, i.e. permitting non-standard base-pairing at the 3rd anti-codon position.
Source: RNAcentral
UAUAUUUUAGUGUAAGAAGCACAAAGGUUUUUGAAGCCUUAAGAAGUAGUUUAAUUCUACUGGAUGUAA